Octodon degus (degu) is the source of this 371-nucleotide long non-coding RNA. RefSeq lists it as uncharacterized. The record is from RefSeq and is a predicted model, not a curated record. The transcript has 3 exons. NCBI's taxonomy places the organism in Eukaryota, Metazoa, Chordata, Mammalia, Rodentia, Octodontidae.
UGUGCCACAGUGGCAGGGCUCUGCAGUGCAGUACGGCAGGGCUUUCUGUCUGACCUGCCCCUCUGCUGGGACCGGGCAUCCACGUUGCUGAAACCCAGUCCAAUCUUUCCAUGUGCAGUAUUGAAGCCAGGAAGGAUCAUUGCAAACCUAUGGGAGCAUGAAGCAGUUUGCAUCCUGCAAGAUGCUGUGCCCUUCACGCAACAGUGAGUACGGUACAUCAGAUACAUGGAGCAGGACCAAAAGGAAGUUUUGCUAGACUACUAGAGAAUUGAAGGACAUUUCUCCACCUCCCCCUAUCAGAAUGAUUGUCCAAAGAAAACAGGGAGUUUUGUGACAGUAGAAUUUGUAUACAUUCCUAUCCAACUCCGCCC